This is a small nucleolar RNA of Homo sapiens (human), 103 nucleotides long. The record is from Ensembl. Lineage: Eukaryota; Metazoa; Chordata; Mammalia; Primates; Hominidae.
AUCCUUUUGUAGUUCAUAGCAUGAUGAUUGGGUGUUCACAUGCAUGUGUGAAAUGUGCCAGCCUUGAACCUUGUUACAACAUUGGCACAUGACCCAUCUGACC